Perca flavescens (yellow perch) is the source of this 914-nucleotide long non-coding RNA. RefSeq lists it as uncharacterized. The record is from RefSeq and is a predicted model, not a curated record. The transcript has 3 exons. NCBI's taxonomy places the organism in Eukaryota, Metazoa, Chordata, Actinopteri, Perciformes, Percidae.
CAAAUACAUAAGCCACAACACAAAUACAUAAGCGACAACGGAAGUAGCUAGCUAUGUGACAACGGAAGUAGCUAAGUGACAACGGAAGUGAACGUGUUGUUGAUAAACGGAGCCGGAGGAUGAGCAGAAGGAGAAGUUCUUGUAUGUUUGAGAAGUUAUGUUUUGUCCAUUUUGUGGAGUGAACCUUCAACAUGUUCUGUCAUAUUGUGGGAAAUGUGGCAGAAACGUUCAGUUUUUAUGGAGUCUUCAAGAUGAAGGUCCUGAAGCUACAAUGGCAGAUGAACUUAUUCAGAAGUAUUUCACAGAAGGCCAUAGUUAUGAAGUAAUAAUGGACUUACUGGCAACCAAGCACAACAUUUCAUUGAGUCUUAGCACUUUAAAAAGAAGACUACAGGAUGCACGCCUGACCCGGAGGACAAACUACACUCCGUUUGCAACUGUGCAGGCAGCUAUAUCUGAGGAACUUAAGGGAUCAGGCCAGCUCUUAUGAUACCGAGCAAUGUGUCAGACUCUGAGACAGAAGUACUCUCUUAUAGUCAGAAGAGAUGAUGUGAUGCGCCUAAUGGGAGAACUGGAUCCGUCCGGAAAAGAAAAUCGCUCUAGACGCAGAUUCGUCCGGAGAGCAUACCACUCAAUGGGACCCAAUGACGUCUGGCAUGUUGAUGGCUAUGAUAAAAUGAAACCUUUUGGGAUUGCAAUUAGUGGCUGUAUCGAUGGAUUUUCUAGAAAAAUCAUGUGGCUGAAAUGUGGAAAGUCUAACAAUGACCCUGGCAUAAUUGCUCAAAAUUACAUGCAGUGUGUAGCUGAGUUUGGAAUUAUUCCAAUGCGUCUCCGCACAGACUGCGGCACAGAAAAUGGACUGAUGGCAUCACUUCACUGUUCCCUGAGAUCAGAGCAUGCAGAUGAGUUUGCAG